GACGAACGCUGGCGGCGUGCUUAACACAUGCAAGUCGAACGGAAAGGCCCUGCUUUUGUGGGGUGCUCGAGUGGCGAACGGGUGAGUAACACGUGAGUAACCUGCCCUUGACUUUGGGAUAACUUCAGGAAACUGGGGCUAAUACCGGAUAGGAGCUCCUGCUGCAUGGUGGGGGUUGGAAAGUUUCGGCGGUUGGGGAUGGACUCGCGGCUUAUCAGCUUGUUGGUGGGGUAGUGGCUUACCAAGGCUUUGACGGGUAGCCGGCCUGAGAGGGUGACCGGCCACAGUGGGACUGAGAUACGGCCCAGACUCCUACGGGAGGCAGCAGUGGGGAAUAUUGCACAAUGGGCGGAAGCCUGAGACAGCAACGCCGCGUGCGGGAUGACGGCCUUCGGGUUGUAAACCGCUUUCGCCUGUGACGAAGCGUGAGUGACGGUAAUGGGUAAAGAAGCACCGGCUAACUACGUG
RNAcentral lists this ribosomal RNA (468 nucleotides) under uncultured bacterium. RNAcentral's name for it is "partial 16S ribosomal RNA". It matches the Rfam family "Bacterial small subunit ribosomal RNA", at positions 28 to 507 of the family's 1533-position model. The record is from RNAcentral.